CAGUAGGGAAUCUUCGGCAAUGGACGGAAGUCUGACCGAGCAACGCCGCGUGAGUGAAGAAGGUUUUCGGAUCGUAAAGCUCUGUUGUAAGAGAAGAACGAGUGUGAGAGUGGAAAGUUCACACUGUGACGGUAUCUUACCAGAAAGGGACGGCUAACUACGUGCCAGCAGCCGCGGUAAUACGUAGGUCCCGAGCGUUGUCCGGAUUUAUUGGGCGUAAAGCGAGCGCAGGCGGUUAGAUAAGUCUGAAGUUAAAGGCUGUGGCUUAACCAUAGUAGGCUUUGGAAACUGUUUAACUUGAGUGCAAGAGGGGAGAGUGGAAUUCCAUGUGUAGCGGUGAAAUGCGUAGAUAUAUGGAGGAACACCGGUGGCGAAAGCGGCUCUCUGGCUUGUAACUGACGCUGAGGCUCGAAAGCGUGGGGAGCAAACAGGAUUAGAUACCCUGGUAGUCCACGCUGUAAACGAUGAGUGCUAGGUGUUAGACCCUUUCCGGGGUUUAGUGCCGUAGCUAACGCAUUAAGCACUCCGCCUGGGGAGUACGACCGCAAGGUUG
Molecule: ribosomal RNA, 553 nt
Filed under: uncultured bacterium
Lineage: Bacteria
Description: bacterial SSU rRNA
Rfam family: Bacterial small subunit ribosomal RNA
Source: RNAcentral